GUGCAGCAGGCGCGAAACCUUUACAAUGCCUUCACGGGCGAUAAGGGGAUCCUGAGUGCUCUAGCAUUGCUAGAGCUUUUCCAGAGUGUAAAAAGCUCUGGGAAUAAGUGGUGGGUAAGACGGGUGCCAGCCGCCGCGGUAAUACCCGCGCCACAAGUGGUGACCACGUUUAUUGGGUCUAAAGCGUCCGUAGCCGGCUGGG
This 202-nucleotide ribosomal RNA is filed under the name uncultured microorganism. RNAcentral's name for it is "partial 16S ribosomal RNA". It matches the Rfam family "Archaeal small subunit ribosomal RNA", at positions 330 to 533 of the family's 1478-position model. The record is from RNAcentral.